GACGAACGCUGGCGGCGUGCUUAACACAUGCAAGUCGAACGGUGAAGCGCCUUCCUUUUUGGUGGGUGUGGAUGAGUGGCGAACGGGUGAGUAACACGUGAGUAACCUGCCCCCUUCUUCUGGAUAACCGCAUGAAAGUGUGGCUAAUACGGGAUAUUCUGGGUCUGUCGCAUGAUGGGUCUGGGAAAGAUAUUGUUUCGGUGGGGGAUGGGCUCGCGGCCUAUCAGCUUGUUGGUGGGGUGAUGGCCUACCAAGGCGGUGACGGGUAGCCGGCCUGAGAGGGUGGACGGUCACACUGGGACUGAGACACGGCCCAGACUCCGACGGGCAGCAGCAGUGGGGAAUAUUGCACAAUGGGCGCAAGCCUGAUGCAGCGACGCCGCGUGAGGGAUGGAGGCCUUCGGGUUGUGAACCUCUUUCGCCAGUGAAGCAGGCCUGCCUCGUUUGUGGGUGGGUUGACGGUAGCUGGAUAAGAAGCGCCGGCUAACUACGUG
RNAcentral lists this ribosomal RNA (494 nucleotides) under uncultured bacterium. RNAcentral's name for it is "partial 16S ribosomal RNA". It matches the Rfam family "Bacterial small subunit ribosomal RNA", at positions 28 to 507 of the family's 1533-position model. The record is from RNAcentral.